UACGUAGGUGGCAAGCGUUGUCCGGAUUUAUUGGGGUUAAAGGGUGCGUAGGCGGUCUUCUAAGUCAGUUGUGAAAUACUUCAGCUUAACUGGAGAGGUGCAAUUGAUACUGGAAGACUUGAGUACUGAUGAGGUAGGCGGAAUGGACGGUGUAGCGGUGAAAUGCUUAGAUAUCGUCCAGAACACCGAUAGCGAAGGCAGCUUACUAAGGAGUAACUGACGCUGAGGCACGAAAGUGUGGGGAUCAAACAGG
Molecule: ribosomal RNA, 253 nt
Filed under: uncultured bacterium
Lineage: Bacteria
Description: partial 16S ribosomal RNA
Rfam family: Bacterial small subunit ribosomal RNA
Source: RNAcentral